GAUGAAGAACGUAGCGAAAUGCGAUACGUAAUGUGAAUUGCAGAAUUCAGUGAAUCAUCGAGUCUUUGAACGCACAUUGCGCCCUCUGGUAUUCCGGAGGGCAUGCCUGUCCGAGCGUCAUUGCUACCCUCAAGCACGGCUUGUGUGUUGGGCCCCGCCCCCCGAUCCCGGGGGGCGGGCCCGAAAGGCAGCGGCGGCACCGCGUCCGGUCCUCGAGCGUAUGGGGCUUUGUCACCCGCUCUGUAGGCCCGGCCGGCGCCUGCCGAUCAACCAAACUUUUUUCCAGGUUGACCUCGGAUCAGGUAGGGAUACCCGCUGAACUUAAGCAUAUCAAUAAGCGGAGGA
Molecule: unclassified non-coding RNA, 345 nt
Filed under: soil metagenome
Description: partial contains 5.8S ribosomal RNA, internal transcribed spacer 2, and large subunit ribosomal RNA
Rfam family: 5.8S ribosomal RNA (bases 1-120)
Source: RNAcentral